Molecule: ribosomal RNA, 497 nt
Filed under: uncultured bacterium
Lineage: Bacteria
Description: partial 16S ribosomal RNA
Rfam family: Bacterial small subunit ribosomal RNA
Source: RNAcentral
GAUGAACGCUAGCGGCGUGCCUAAUACAUGCAAGUCGAGCGAACAGACGAGGAGCUUGCUCCUCUGACGUUAGCGGCGGGCGGGUGAGUAACACGUGGAUAACCUACCUAUAAGACUGGGAUAACUUCGGGAAACCGGAGCUAAUACCGGAUAAUAUAUUGAACCGCAUGGUUCAAUAGUGAAAGACGGUUUUGCUGUCACUUAUAGAUGGAUCCGCGCCGCAUUAGCUAGUUGGUAAGGUAACGGCUUACCAAGGCGACGAUGCGUAGCCGACCUGAGAGGGUGAUCGGCCACACUGGAACUGAGACACGGUCCAGACUCCUACGGGAGGCAGCAGUAGGGAAUCUUCCGCAAUGGGCGAAAGCCUGACGGAGCAACGCCGCGUGAGUGAUGAAGGUCUUCGGAUCGUAAAACUCUGUUAUUAGGGAAGAACAAAUGUGUAAGUAACUAUGCACGUCUUGACGGUACCUAAUCAGAAAGCCACGGCUAACUACGUG